Long non-coding RNA from Equus caballus (horse), 1744 nucleotides. The record is from Ensembl. Lineage: Eukaryota; Metazoa; Chordata; Mammalia; Perissodactyla; Equidae.
UGAGGAAAGGACACUUUGCCUCAGACUGGGACAAUCGGCACUCCCGCCUGCUGUACAAAGUAUUGGGACUUCCCUGGCUGAUUGUGGUGUGGAUGUUGAAUUUCAUCCUUCUUUAAUAAACAUUUUUAUAAAAAGAAAUUUAUGCAAUCUGGAUGCUACUUUCUUCCAACAAAACUGUCUCCAGCAUGAACUACUUUGUGACCUUCCAAGGAUCUAACCUCGAUGAGUCUCAUCUCUAAAACCAGGCAAUCCUCUCUGACAGGCUAAGAGAAAAGACACGGGAAGUGUAAUUCGUUCGGGGUCCCUGACGGAUAGAGAAGCUUUCCACAGUGAAUGGAAAAGUCUAGAAGCCCAACUUCUCUCCUGAGGGACCUUCCUUCUCUUUGUUCCUCUCCCCACGCUCCUUACACUCAUUCCGGGAAACGCCUCAAACUUUCAACAGCGCCUCCCAGAAGGAUUCCAUUCUUUCUUUAAUCCUAUCAGGCUCUGAGGUAAUUUGCAUAGCAAAUAAGUAUCACGCCCCACGUAUUUGGAUUGGGUUUCUGACGUCGUAUACUAGACAGAACAAUAUAAAAAGGCAGACAUAGUACCGGACUGAAUCAUUCGCCCGUUUUCCUAGAGUGGCUACAGGUCUCUGCCUGGUCAGGAGGCUGGAGCUAUGGAGCCCCAUCCAUCAAACCUGGAGGAUCUGUCUUGUCGGUGGGCAUAUCCAGAGCCUAACCUGCCAGUGGGCCUGAAUCGAGAACAGGCCUGGGCCUGGGCGCUGGAUAACUUCCCUGCGCUGAGCCGCCACUCCUGCCAACGUCCCCAGCUCUGUGGCGACUGGAACUAUAGCGUGUGCGGGAUGCUGUGCCUUGCUUGCACCGGGCACGGAGACAUCUCCACAGUCGACAGGGGCCAAAAACGCUAUCGAGACCCAGCUGUCCAAGAGCCAGUGGCUGAAACCGAGAUGGAGCGACAGUCACCUCAAGAAGAGGCAGAUGCUACAGACCGCACAGCCCGAUGGAGCCAGAACCAGCCAGGCGACGCCAGCGUCAGCGGAGGCGGACAGAUCCGUAGUGAGAUCGCUCCCAGGAGCCCAGGCCGUCCCCGGAAGCUGCUGAAAACCACGCCAUAAAACAGGUUGGAAUCCAGAAAGGAAAGAAACCUUAGUCCUUCGCCUGGCCCCAGCGCUGCCGCCUUCAACCGAUGUCCUGGAGGGAGCGCAAGACACCCCAGUGGGUCCCUAAUUCCGUCUGCGUGGACUUAGCUGCCACAGCGCCCUGCAUGCAUAGAAGCCUUGAGUUUUCCGUGGUGGAGAACAUUCCUUAUUUUGUUCUUCCUCUCUUGAAUGAAUUAAAGACUUUUCAAUGAAUAAAACUCUCCAUGUAAUAAACAAUAUACUAAGGAACUUUUUUAAGGUCUACUCAGAGUUGUCAUGAUUUUUCCCUUAUUGAAAUUGCAUGUGGUGAUUAAAACCUGUUUCCUUAUUCUCUGCCAGUGGAAUUGAUUUUGGGUGGAUGCAGUCAGGAUUACAAGUCCUAUAGGUGGGCCUGAGGAAGAAAGGGAGGCGGUGACCCUGGUCCCUACUCAUUACAAUGAGUGAAAUUCAAAUUAAUACAAAGAUAUAUUUUUGUUUUGCAUAAUGGCAUAUAUGAAACUUCUUCCUGACACCCUAGGUUGGUAAACAUUUGGAAAGUAUAACUCCCAAACACCACUGGUAGGAAUGAAUUGGAAAGGAUCUUUGGAAAGGCAAUAUGCAUUA